CCUGGCUCAGGAUGAACGCUAGCUACAGGCUUAACACAUGCAAGUCGAGGGGCAGCAUGGUCUUAGCUUGCUAAGACUGAUGGCGACCGGCGCACGGGUGGGUAACACGUAUCCAACCUGCCGUCUACUCUUGGACAGCCUUCUGAAAGGAAGAUUAAUACAAGAUGGCAUCAUGAGUCCGCAUGUUCACAUGAUUAAAGGUAUUCCGGUAGACGAUGGGGAUGCGUUCCAUUAGAUAGUAGGCGGGGUAACGGCCCACCUAGUCUUCGAUGGAUAGGGGUUCUGAGAGGAAGGUCCCCCACAUUGGAACUGAGACACGGUCCAAACUCCUACGGGAGGCAGCAGUGAGGAAUAUUGGUCAAUGGGCGAGAGCCUGAACCAGCCAAGUAGCGUGAAGGAUGACUGCCCUAUGGGUUGUAAACUUCUUUUAUAAAGGAAUAAAGUCGGGUAUGCAUACCCGUUUGCAUGUACUUUAUGAAUAAGGAUCGGCUAACUCCGUGCCAGCAGCCGCGGUAAUACGGAGGAUCCGAGCGUUAUCCGGAUUUAUUGGGUUUAAAGGGAGCGUAGAUGGAUGUUUAAGUCAGUUGUGAAAGUUUGCGGCUCAACCGUAAAAUUGCAGUUGAUACUGGAUAUCUUGAGUGCAGUUGAGGCAGGCGGAAUUCGUGGUGUAGCGGUGAAAUGCUUAGAUAUCACGAAGAACUCCGAUUGCGAAGGCAGCCUGCUAAGCUGCAACUGACAUUGAGGCUCGAAAGUGUGGGUAUCAAACAGGAUUAGAUACCCUGGUAGUCCACACGGUAAACGAUGAAUACUCGCUGUUUGCGAUAUACUGCAAGCGGCCAAGCGAAAGCGUUAAGUAUUCCACCUGGGGAGUACGCCGGCAACGGUGAAACUCAAAGGAAUUGACGGGGGCCCGCACAAGCGGAGGAACAUGUGGUUUAAUUCGAUGAUACGCGAGGAACCUUACCCGGGCUUAAAUUGCAGAUGAAUUACGGUGAAAGCCGUAAGCCGCAAGGCAUCUGUGAAGGUGCUGCAUGGUUGUCGUCAGCUCGUGCCGUGAGGUGUCGGCUUAAGUGCCAUAACGAGCGCAACCCUUGUUGUCAGUUACUAACAGGUUCCGCUGAGGACUCUGACAAGACUGCCAUCGUAAGAUGUGAGGAAGGUGGGGAUGACGUCAAAUCAGCACGGCCCUUACGUCCGGGGCUACACACGUGUUACAAUGGGGGGUACAGAGGGCCGCUACCACGCGAGUGGAUGCCAAUCCCCAAAACCUCUCUCAGUUCGGACUGGAGUCUGCAACCCGACUCCACGAAGCUGGAUUCGCUAGUAAUCGCGCAUCAGCCACGGCGCGGUGAAUACGUUCCCGGGCCUUGUACACACCGCCCG
This 1383-nucleotide ribosomal RNA is filed under the name uncultured bacterium. RNAcentral's name for it is "bacterial SSU rRNA". It matches the Rfam family "Bacterial small subunit ribosomal RNA", at positions 18 to 1396 of the family's 1533-position model. The record is from RNAcentral.